UCCGUUAUAGUGUAGGGGUUAUCAUUUCGCCUUCUCACGGCGACGACCCGGGUUCGAUUCCCGGUAACGGAA
This is a non-coding RNA of Hanseniaspora opuntiae, 72 nucleotides long. NCBI's taxonomy places the organism in Eukaryota, Fungi, Ascomycota, Saccharomycetes, Saccharomycodales, Saccharomycodaceae. The record is from Rfam.